Molecule: ribosomal RNA, 446 nt
Filed under: uncultured bacterium
Lineage: Bacteria
Description: bacterial SSU rRNA
Rfam family: Bacterial small subunit ribosomal RNA
Source: RNAcentral
GUAAGGAAUAUUGGUCAAUGGGCGAAAGCCUGAACCAGCCAUCCAGCGUGCAGGAAGAAGGCCCUAUGGGUUGUAAACUGCUUUUAUCAGGGAAGAAACCUCUGGAUUUACUCCGGAGCUGACGGUACCUGAAGAAUAAGCACCGGCUAACUCCGUGCCAGCAGCCGCGGUAAUACGGAGGGUGCGAGCGUUAUCCGGAAUUACUGGGUUUAAAGGGUGCGUAGGCGGCUUUGUAAGUCAGGAGUGAAAGUUUGCGGCUCAACCGUAAAAUUGCUUUUGAUACUGCAGAGCUAGAAUCAGGAUGAGGUUAGCGGAAUGUGGCAUGUAGCGGUGAAAUGCAUAGAUAUGCCAUAGAACACCAAUUGCGAAGGCAGCUGGCUAGACCUGCAUUGACGCUGAGGCACGAAAGCGUGGGGAGCGAACAGGAUUAGAAACCCCAGUAGUCC